This 28-nucleotide small RNA is filed under the name Bombyx mori (domestic silkworm). RNAcentral's name for it is "ovarian small RNA-17882". The record is from RNAcentral. Lineage: Eukaryota; Metazoa; Arthropoda; Insecta; Lepidoptera; Bombycidae.
GUGCCACAGGAAGCCUGAUCGUAGCGAU